UACGUAGGUGGCAAGCGUUAUCCGGAAUUAUUGGGCGUAAAGAGCGCGCAGGUGGUUGAUUAAGUCUGAUGUGAAAGCCCACGGCUUAACCGUGGAGGGUCAUUGGAAAGUGGUCGACUUGAGUGCAGAAGAGGGAAGUGGAAUUCCAUGUGUAGCGGUGAAAUGCGUAGAGAUAUGGAGGAACACCAGUGGCGAAGGCGGCUUCCUGGUCUGUAACUGACACUGAGGCGCGAAAGCGUGGGGAGCAAACAGGAUUAGAUACCCCCGUA
RNAcentral lists this ribosomal RNA (269 nucleotides) under uncultured prokaryote. RNAcentral describes it as "partial 16S ribosomal RNA". It matches the Rfam family "Bacterial small subunit ribosomal RNA", at positions 524 to 792 of the family's 1533-position model. The record is from RNAcentral.